This 255-nucleotide long non-coding RNA is filed under the name Carica papaya (papaya). RNAcentral's name for it is "long non-coding RNA (CPAP_LNC000449)". The record is from RNAcentral. Lineage: Eukaryota; Viridiplantae; Streptophyta; Magnoliopsida; Brassicales; Caricaceae.
UAUAAGGUAUCUAGCAUCUACUCGCCGUCUUCCUGUGGGUCGGGCUCUAGAACCUGGUUCUCCUGAUCUGAAAUCGUUAAAUAAGGAAUGAGCUACACUAGCCCAGUAAGGACAUCACACUAAUCACCGUCACAGAAGCAAAGGUUGGUAGAAAAUUAAAACAACCAAUAGAGCAGUAGAUUUAAACAAGUUCAUUUAUAAAAAAUCAAACCAUUUACCCUCCACUUACCGCAGUGAAAUUUAUAAAAACAACCU